CGCCCCUCUCCCGCCCACUGCGGCCCGCCCAGGGCCCGCCCGGGGCCGGCUCCGCAGCGGCGGCCGGAGCUGCAGCCGCCGCCCGCCCGUCGCAGCGCCGGCGCUGCCGCGGUGCCCGGCAGGGAAGAUGGCGCCGUCCCACGUCCUCAAGUGCUGCCAGAAGGUGCUGGCCUGGGUGCCCGUGGCCUUCAUCGCCCUGGUCGUGGCCUGGUCCUACUACGCCUACGUGGUGGAGCUGUGUGUGUGUGCCUCAUGGCGGCGGGGUCCCGGCCCGGAGCCGCCUGUGGAAACGCGGGGAACGGGUUCGGAGGAAAGGAAGGAGGCCCAGGGUGCUUCGUCUGGGGAGAGGGACUUCUCGAGGGCUCAGCCCCUCGUGUCUCCUCGUGAGGAGUUUUCCCUCUAUUUUACUGUUGUUCAUCCGUCUGAUGUGUCAAAUAAUUCCUUAAGGGUGUAUAGGGGGUUCCCAUCCCUCCUCCUCAUUCAGAAGCCGGGUGCCGUUGAAGCAUUAUGAGGCUGGAAGCAUCCAACUUAAGCGGGCUGGGGAAAGGAUUUAGGGCUUACGGGGCUUCGUCAGGCCGUAUCCAGGCUUUCUGGACGAGGAUUCGUCUUUGUAUAAAUCUGACUUGCAGCCGAUGUCGGUCAGGGUGAUGUUUACCCUUUACUGUCUCCAGGAGGAAAGUUCAGUUCAGGAGGCUUUUGGCUUUCUCUGGGCAGGGUGAAUGAGGGGAACUGUGAUCUGCAGUAUUUAUCAGAAUUGCUGAAACUUGGAAGCAGCAUAGGAAAACUAAGGAAUGGGUUAUUGAGCGUUUGGUGUGUUUAAGUAAGGAAGCUGAAAUGAAGAACCUCCAAAGUACUAAGAACUAUUUUAAGGCAUAUAUAGGUCUGUCUAGUCUCUGUAGGUCCUGGUACUACUUGUUAUUUGUGUAAACUACAUGCUUUGAUAUCCCUAGCUAAAAAAAAAAAAAAAAUGUUUGCAUGUACUUUAUAUCUGGGUAAACUGGUAUAGGCAGCCUUCCAUUAGCCAUUAUCAGUUCGGUUUUUUCUGUGAUGACUUGGUAUUUUGAAUAACUUUUCUGUAUUCUGAUGUUACUUCACAGCCUUUUGUAUUUGUACAUCAGGACCGGCACAUGAACCGCUGGCAAAAAUGUUAUUUGAACUUUAAAUAAUUGAGACAUAGCUGUAAAAUAAUGCUUGUUGAGGUACUACGUGAAAUGUUGACACGAUGCAGUUGCAAAUAUGUCAGUGUAUCCAAACUUGCCAAAUUACUGUUGUUCAGUUGUCUAUGUGAAUAAAUAAGUUUUCUGGGAAAUCAUGCUUAAAACUGCGAACGUUUGAAAACGAAUCUGAGUCAGUCUACUGGAGGUCUGGCACAUGGGUUGCUGUAACAGCAGUCCUGAAAGGGGCUGUGUGAGGUUAUAGACUCACAUCUUACAAGUUUUCUGUACUCCCUACAGUCUAAUUAAUACGACAAAAGGCAGAUUAGGGCUAUUCUUAAACAAAGAACAAAACCUCAGGGAUUAAGAGACUUGCCGAGGGUCGCACAGGUGGUCUCUGCUUGAAUUGGGAACAGAGCCUCAAGCUCUGAGUCCCAGCUUGGUGUCUUGAUCACAGAGUGGGUCUGGACUAGGUGCUGGUGCAUGAUUUCUCUAUCGUGGACAUAGAGAAGCUGCAAAGAGCUCUGCUGAGUUCAUUAAGGUUUCGUUUGUGUGAAAAUUAUUGAGA
This 1722-nucleotide long non-coding RNA is filed under the name Cyanoderma ruficeps (rufous-capped babbler). RNAcentral's name for it is "lncRNA (ENSCRFG00000003747.1)". Lineage: Eukaryota; Metazoa; Chordata; Aves; Passeriformes; Timaliidae. The record is from RNAcentral.